Molecule: ribosomal RNA, 459 nt
Filed under: uncultured bacterium
Lineage: Bacteria
Description: partial 16S ribosomal RNA
Rfam family: Bacterial small subunit ribosomal RNA
Source: RNAcentral
CCUACGGGAGGCAGCAGUGAGGAAUAUUGGUCAAUGGGCGCGAGCCUGAACCAGCCAAGUCGCGUGAGGGAAGACGGUCCUAUGGAUUGUAAACCUCUUUUGUCGGGGAGCAAAAGACGCCACGCGUGGCGUUCCGAGAGUACCCGAAGAAAAAGCAUCGGCUAACUCCGUGCCAGCAGCCGCGGUAAUACGGAGGAUGCGAGCGUUAUCCGGAUUUAUUGGGGUUAAAGGGUGCGCAGGCGGAAGAGCAAGUCAGCGGUAAAAUGGUGGGGCUAAACCUCUUAGAGCCGUUGAAACUGGUUUUCUGGAGUGAGUGAGAAGUAUGCGGAAUGCGUGGUGUAGCGGUGAAAUGCAUAGAUAUCACGCAGAACGCCGAUUGCGAAGGCAGCAUACCGGCGCUCAACUGACGCUCAUGCACGAAAGUGUGGGUAUCGAACAGGAUUAGAUACCCGUGUAGUC